Molecule: long non-coding RNA, 333 nt
Organism: Passer domesticus (house sparrow)
Lineage: Eukaryota; Metazoa; Chordata; Aves; Passeriformes; Passeridae
Exons: 4
Source: RefSeq, a predicted model, not a curated record
AUGACCAAGAGAAUAUGCAGGCUGGAAAACUCCACUCGGUAUCACUGAAGCAUCAAUUUUCAGGGCUUGGAGGUGCUUCUUUUCCCAGCCAGUCAAGCAUCACUGAUGGGAAAAUCACGUCAGUCCUGGUUGCCUUUGCUCCAGCCAAAACGUGGAUUUGAUCUGAACAUCUUUUAUUUUGAUCCUUCCUUUUGCUGCUGACUUGGAGCCUCACUGCUGCUCCCUGAGGGGAGAGAGAGGGCCCUGCUGCUUCUGGAAGGAAUUGGAAAAACGUCCCAUUGACAAACCAAAAGUAACCAAGGAGUACAUCCAAGAAGACCAUUCAUGAUUUAG